RNAcentral lists this ribosomal RNA (200 nucleotides) under uncultured bacterium. RNAcentral's name for it is "partial 16S ribosomal RNA". It matches the Rfam family "Bacterial small subunit ribosomal RNA", at positions 524 to 723 of the family's 1533-position model. The record is from RNAcentral.
UACGGAGGGUGCAAGCGUUAUCCGGAUUUACUGGGUUUAAAGGGUACGCAGGCGGUAAUAUAAGUCAGUGGUGAAAGCUUCCAGCUCAACUGGAAAACUGCCAUUGAUACUGUAUUACUUGAAUUUGGGAGAGGUAGGCGGAAUACAUCAUGUAGCGGUGAAAUGCUUAGAUAUGAUGUAGAACACCGAUUGCGAAGGCA